This 300-nucleotide ribosomal RNA is filed under the name uncultured Halothiobacillus sp. Its description in RNAcentral is "bacterial SSU rRNA". It matches the Rfam family "Bacterial small subunit ribosomal RNA", at positions 497 to 795 of the family's 1533-position model. The record is from RNAcentral. Lineage: Bacteria; Pseudomonadati; Pseudomonadota; Gammaproteobacteria; Chromatiales; Halothiobacillaceae.
CUGAAGUCGUGGCUAGCAGCGGCGUUAAUACGGAUGGUGCUAGCGUUAAUCGGAAUAACCGGGCGUAAAGCGCACGCUGGCGGUCGGAUAAGUCAGAUGUGAAAGCCCCGGGCUCAACCUGGGAACUGCAUUUGAAACUGUUCGACUAGAGUCUUGUAGAGGGGGGUAGAAUUCCAGGUGUAGCGGUGAAAUGCGUAGAGAUCUGGAGGAAUACCGGUGGCGAAGGCGGCCCCCUGGACAAAGACUGACGCUCAGGUGCGAAAGCGUGGGGAGCAAACAGGAUUAGAUACCCCUGUAGUC